RNAcentral lists this long non-coding RNA (572 nucleotides) under Prunus persica (peach). RNAcentral's name for it is "long non-coding RNA (PPER_LNC001863)". Lineage: Eukaryota; Viridiplantae; Streptophyta; Magnoliopsida; Rosales; Rosaceae. The record is from RNAcentral.
AAACAAACCCCAAUUAUUCUAAUAAUAAAACAAAACAUAAAAAUAAAAAAAAAAAAGGUUAGGGAUUCAAGUUCUUUCUCCAGAGUGAUUCAUUCCCUUCAUUGCUUUUCUGUCUGAUUUUUUUCUGUUUCAGGUAGGCACAAACUGAUUCUAAACUUGAUUCUUCAAUUAUUUUUUAUUGUUUUUGUAAUAUAUAGCUAACAAAGAACCAAUUUUAAAAUUCCAUGCAUCAUGAUUGGUAAAGAAGAAGUGGCGAUUGACCACCCCGAUUGUCAUCUUCAUCAUUUUCCAGCGUGCUUGAAUAAGUUUGGUCUGUCUUUCAACUUCUCUAAUCUAUUUGCCCUUGGGUAGUGGUUAAGCCCUUCUUCUUUUCUUUUUAUUGUAUAUUUACUUUGAAGGUUUUUGUUAUGAAUCAAGUAUCUGCUCUGUUUGGUGUUAAGAUCAAUUCAAAACUGUAUUUCGCUCCAAGAAAGUGAUCAAAUUGAGUAACCAGUUAAAGAUAUUUGCUGCUUAAUGAUCAAUUUCUAAGGAACGAAAUCAAGUAUAAUCAUACUCUCACUUUAUUAUUAGCU